GAUGAACGCUGGCGGCGUGCUUAACACAUGCAAGUCGAACGGUGAAGGCGGAGCUUGCUCUGCUGGAUCAGUGGCGAACGGGUGAGUAACACGUGAGCAAUCUGCCCCUGACUCUGGGAUAAGCGCUGGAAACGGCGUCUAAUACUGGAUACGAGCUGCGAAGGCAUCUUCAGCAGCUGGAAAGAACUUCGGUCAGGGAUGGGCUCGCGGCCUAUCAGCUUGUUGGUGAGGUACCGGCUCACCAAGGCGUCGACGGGUAGCCGGCCUGAGAGGGUAACCGGCCACACUGGGACUGAGAGACGGCCCAGACUCCUACGGGAGGCAGCAGUGGGGAGUAUUACACAGUGGGCGAAAGCCUGAUGCAGCAACGCCGCGUGAGGGACGACGGCCUUCGGGUUGUAAACCUCUUUUAGCCAGGAAGAAGCGAAAGUGACGGUACCUGCAGAAAAAGCGCCGGCUAACUACGUG
This 468-nucleotide ribosomal RNA is filed under the name uncultured bacterium. Its description in RNAcentral is "partial 16S ribosomal RNA". It matches the Rfam family "Bacterial small subunit ribosomal RNA", at positions 28 to 507 of the family's 1533-position model. The record is from RNAcentral.